RNAcentral lists this ribosomal RNA (406 nucleotides) under uncultured bacterium. RNAcentral's name for it is "partial 16S ribosomal RNA". It matches the Rfam family "Bacterial small subunit ribosomal RNA", at positions 30 to 526 of the family's 1533-position model. The record is from RNAcentral.
AUUGAACGCUGGCGGCAGGCCUAACACAUGCAAGUCGAGCGAGCGGCGGACGGGUGAUUAAUGCCUAGGAAUUUGCCUGCUAGUCGGGGAUACCUACUGGAAACGGUAGCUAAUACCGCAUACUAUCGGUCGUGCCCAGAUGGGAUUAGCUAGUAGGUGGGGUCACGGCUCACCUAGGGGACGAUCCCUAGCUGGUCUGAGAGGAUGACCAGACACGCUGGAAAUGGGACACGGUCCAGACUCCUAAGGAGGGCAGCAUUGAGGAAGAUUGCACAAUGGGGGCAAGCCUGAUGCAGCCAUACCGCGUGUAUGAAGAAGGCCUUCGGGUUGUAAAGUACUUUCAGCGGGGAGGCGUUACCCGCAGAAGGAGAGCCGGCUAACUCCGUGCCAGCCGACGCGGUAAUAC